UCCUCAGCCUGAGUCAGGCAGAAGUGAAGGAACAGGCUAGUGGUCCUCAACAUCUGGUUCUGGGCCCCGCAUCACUGUCUGAAAAUGUGUUAGAAAUGCAGACCUUGGGCCCCACCCCAGACCUACUGAAUGAGAAACUCUGGGUGAUUCCAAAACAUGCUCAACUUUGAGAACCACUGGACUAAUUGAAAACUCCCUGGUGUUUGUUUCCUCCAGCCUGGUUCCCAGGGCCUCCAGCUCAUCAGCCGAGGCCCGCAUGUGGACAGGCACCCCCUCGUGUUCCGUCAAACUUGUAAAACACCUGAGUUUGUCGUCUGAGCUGCUCAGUUCCUGGUUUCUCUACGGCAUGGUGGCCGCAGCACCCACAAAUCUGUCACCCUAAGAGGUGCUAGAAGUUUAUGGGUCAUUUGGCCCAGCAUUAGAGGGAGACAGUGGAGGGAGAGGCUUGCUCUCUCUUGUAGCCCAGGCGUGCGUGUCCGUGUCCCUGUCCCAGCACUUGCCCCCAGCUCUAAGAUUUCAGUUAGGUUCAGGAAGGAUUAAAACCCAAGGGGAAAUCAGUGGCCAGAGUUUCCACUUUCCCAGUUGGAAGGCGUCACAGGCAGUUUGAAUUUCAAAACAGGAGCCUUCCAUUUGCAGUAUCACCCACGAAUGUCUCCAGUGGGCCUGCUGAAAUGUCACCGAGUGAAUCAUAGCAAUGACUUAUUUUGGAUGGAUACCUACUAAAGAUUUUCUUAACCCAAUUUCACCCUAAAAUAGGAGAAAACCCAUAUUCAAAGGCCACCCAUCAAAUACAUCUUUUUUUUCUCCUCAACAUUUUGUGGUCCUUUGAAGUAGCACUUCCCUAGUAACAAGGAAAAUUAAGUAUAUUCCCAGAGUGUUGGAGUUAGCAGAAAAAUGGCCCAGAAAACGUCCAAUGAAAUAAAAGAACAUGGAAACAGACAGAGUGUAGGUGGUUCAGAAUGCUUAAAACUAAUUGUGGUUUUGUUUCUCCUAGCUCAUUCUAUGCUUGCCUGUGACUCCUUUCCCACUUGUUAGGGUAAGACUCCUUAAGAGGCAACCAUGAGGUUCAUGAAGUUCAGUGUUGGUCACUAUGCCUAGCUGUGAACGUAGAUGCUAUUCCUUUGAUGUUCCCCAGGUUGCCUGGACACCUGUCCCCUUCUCGUGGUCCCAGACUCACCACCCCGACCAGGAACAUGGCCCUGCCCAUCUGUGUCCUUUCCUCUUCCCACAGGUUUUUCUCUGCUCUUAGCUGAUUCCAGUUAAAGCAUUCUGCAGGAGAAGAGGGAGCCCAACAGAGUACUAACCACAAAGACAAGGAACAAAUACCUGUCAGGGUGUGCACUUACCAGAGGGGACUUGAAUGGAUGAAAUUAUUACCUUUAAUUGUGGCUGACUACUCAAUACUGGACUUUAACCACGUUCAAACCAGGAACCUCUGAACUCCUGCUUCUUAUUCCCAGUAGAAGCAAGGAGCCACAGCCGAAGCGGAAAUGAUAGAAAACAUGGCCCAGCCCAAGUUGCAAGCUUCUGAUCUGCUUGAAGAGGGCCCAGAACAUUAAUGGGGAAUGGGAAAGCACUUGGCAACUACCCAAGGAAUUCUGGGGUCCUGAAGAAUCCAAGUUCACAAACCACUGGAGCAAGGUACAAAUGGGCAACCUCUGGAACCUCCUCGAAGGCCAGCUACCUGGCACCCCACGGCUACGUGGUGAGGCCACCCAAACACAGACUCCCCAGGCACAAGUGAGGAGUAGAUGGUUCUGACCCCAGAAGCUUCUAGCUACCACCUCCUGUGCAUAAAACCCACCCUGGAGGUGUGCGCGUGCACAGAAGCCACGAGGGUGUGGUCCAGAUGGCAGGACAUUAAUAUUAGUCCAAGUAGCCAGGGAAAGAAAAAAGAAAAA
Molecule: long non-coding RNA, 1901 nt
Organism: Lontra canadensis (Northern American river otter)
Lineage: Eukaryota; Metazoa; Chordata; Mammalia; Carnivora; Mustelidae
Exons: 6
Source: RefSeq, a predicted model, not a curated record